AGCGAACGCUGGCGGCAGGCCUAAAACAUGCAAGUCGAGCGCUCGUAGCAAUACGAGAGCGGCAGACGGGUGAGUAACACGUGGGAACGUACCCUUUGGUUCGGAACAACCCAGGGAAACUUGGGCUAAUACCGGAUACGUCCGCAAGGAGAAAGAUUUAUCGCCGAAGGAUCGGCCCGCGUCUGAUUAGCUUGUUGGUGAGGUAACGGCUCACCAAGGCGACGAUCAGUAGCUGGUCUGAGAGGAUGAUCAGCCACACUGGGACUGAGACACGGCCCAGACUCCUACGGGAGGCAGCAGUUAGGAAUCUUGGACAAUGGGCGCAAGCCUGAUCCAGCCAUGCCGCGUGAGUGAUGAAGGCCUUAGGGUUGUAAAGCUCUUUCAGCGGGGAAGAUAAUGACGGUACCCGCAGAAGAAGCCCCGGCUAACUUCGUGCCAGCCGCCGCCGUAA
This 451-nucleotide ribosomal RNA is filed under the name uncultured bacterium. RNAcentral describes it as "partial 16S ribosomal RNA". It matches the Rfam family "Bacterial small subunit ribosomal RNA", at positions 29 to 523 of the family's 1533-position model. The record is from RNAcentral.